This 230-nucleotide long non-coding RNA is filed under the name Mytilus galloprovincialis (Mediterranean mussel). The record is from RNAcentral. Lineage: Eukaryota; Metazoa; Mollusca; Bivalvia; Mytilida; Mytilidae.
AAGGUAAUCUGUCUUAGAACUGAAAAGAAAUUCAAUGUCAAAGAAGAUUAACAUUUAUUGAUUGAGGGUCAUAAAGUAGUGGUGUUAGGGAAAAGGAAUACAUAAUGAUAACUGGUGCAUAAAAGUAUUGUGUAUUUGUAGGUAUAUAUGAAAAAUAUGUUGAAAAUGAUUGUAUAUUUCAUUAAGAUUAUUUUUUUGUUGAUAAAAAUUCUACCCAGAGUGGCAAGAAU